RNAcentral lists this ribosomal RNA (453 nucleotides) under uncultured Paludibacter sp. RNAcentral's name for it is "partial 16S ribosomal RNA". It matches the Rfam family "Bacterial small subunit ribosomal RNA", at positions 341 to 792 of the family's 1533-position model. Lineage: Bacteria; Pseudomonadati; Bacteroidota; Bacteroidia; Bacteroidales; Paludibacteraceae. The record is from RNAcentral.
ACGGAAGGCAGCAGUGAGGAAUAUUGGUCAAUGGGCGAGAGCCUGAACCAGCCAAGUCGCGUGAGGGAAGACGGCCCUAUGGGUUGUAAACCUCUUUUGCGAGGGAAUAAAGUGCGUCAUGCGUGACGUUUUGCAUGUACCUUGCGAAUAAGGAUCGGCUAACUCCGUGCCAGCAGCCGCGGUAAUACGGAGGAUUCGAGUGUUAUCCGGAUUUAUUGGGUUUAAAGGGUGCGUGGCGGGGGAUCAAGUCAGUGGUGAAAUGGUGCGGCUCAACCGUAGCAUUGCCGUUGAAACUGGUUUUCUUGAGUGCGAAUGAGGUGGGCGGAAUGUGUCAUGUAGCGGUGAAAUGCAUAGAUAUGACACAGAACACCGAUUGCGAAGGCAGCCCACUGGGACGCGACUGACGCUGAGGCACGAAAGUGCGGGGAUCGAACAGGAUUAGAUACCCUGGUA